This is a long non-coding RNA of Jaculus jaculus (lesser Egyptian jerboa), 1121 nucleotides long. RefSeq lists it as uncharacterized. The record is from RefSeq and is a predicted model, not a curated record. The transcript has 2 exons. Lineage: Eukaryota; Metazoa; Chordata; Mammalia; Rodentia; Dipodidae.
CCUCGCACCUCUGUGGGCGGGAAACUUCCUACGCGUGCACUGGGGCGGUCGCUGCAUGCGGCCCUCUGGUUCUGUUUUAUUUAUAUACUUUGGUUUUUCGAGGUACGGUCUCGCACUAGCCCUGACCUGCAGUUCACUCUGUAGACUCAUGGCCAUCCUCCUACUUCUGCCUCCCAAGUGCUGGGAUCAAAGGCGUGUGCCACUAUGGCCCGCCAUGGUUCUGGUUUUGUCUGCUGACAUUAUUCACCUGGCCUAAAUGUCAUCAGGGUUUCUCCUCAGCCUUCCACAAAGAUGCUUGGAGAUGAUCAUUAAAGACAUGCAUUUAGCAGAUUCAAGAAUCUGGGCCAGCUGGAGAGAAGUCGUAGCAGUUAAGGCAUAUACCUGUGAAGCCUAAGGACCCAGGUUUGAUUUCCCAGGACCCACAUAAGCCGGAUGCACAAGACAUGGCAGCUCAGGCCUGUAAUCCCAGCACUCCAGAGGAUGAAACAGGGUUGCUUCGCACUUGAGACCAGACUGGACUACACAGUGAAUUCCAGACCAAUUCUUGGGCUACAUGGUAAGAUCCUGUUUCAAAACAAGAACAAUAAAGCACCUUACAGCUUCUCUUUGACAAAUCCACAUUGCCUGCUACUCUGGCACUUUGGGCUAUUAUUAAAUGAAAUAAGGGUUACUUGAACACAGACUCUGACCUCAUGGUAGCUGAGCUGACAGCUGACGUGGCUGUCAUAGUGAACAGGAAGCAAGUGCGGCAAAGGCAGAUACCCAGGACCCGGGAGCUGCCUACCUCCAGGGUGGGACAGUGUGGGAUGGCGCAAGACUUCAUCCGGCUACUCAUAGUGGCAUGCAAUUUAAAACUUACAAGUCACUUAUUUCUGGAAUUUUCCACUCAAUAUUUUUGGCACAUUGUUGACUGUGGGUAACUGAAUUGUGGGAAAGGGAAACAUUGGGUAAAGGUUGGAAAGGAAUUAUUGUGUUUAAAAAAUUGACUUCAUGUAAGGUGACAAAGAGGGCUGGCUUUGGGAAGAUGAUGCAGUUUGCUUUUGAUAACAAGACUAACCUUUAGGUAAGCCAAAUAAGAGAAUUGUUUCCAAUUUUUACUAAUAAACGUAUCCCUAAUCUGA